GGGACUCAAUAUGGCGGCGCGCGCUCGGCCGCUUGACCCCGGUGUCCCCUAAAGCGGGUAAGGGAUGAAACUUUCUCAUCUCGAGUCAUGCUGUUUUCGGAAACGUAGGGAUGCGUUUUAAUUUCUAUGCGCCACCCGUGGGUCGGCCCUCACCUGCGAGUCGGCUGACCGUGAACGACCCUCACUUGCUGUGCACCGGAAGGGCUUGGUCUUCUUGGCCUCUGUUUCCCGGAAGUGGUUUCCCUCCACCUCCUUAGGAGGGCCGGCCUUCCCUAAGGGCGGAGUCUAGGGCUUCUUUGGGACUGAAUAUGCAUUAGCUUUUGGAAGUCCAGCUUUGAUUUUCCCCUAAGCAUUGUUACAAAGGCCGGACUGCGGCUCUGGGCACCGUUCACAUCCUCGGCCGCCUUUGGCUUUGUGACCUUGGGCCGGUUGUAUAAGCUCUCUGAGCUUCCCAGGUGACUUCUCUGCAAAGUGGGCUGGUAACGCCCGAGUUGGUGCUAAAUCCUAAAGUUCAUGCUGCGAACCGGUCCCUCAACAGAUCAGCCUCUGUUUGGUCUGGUGGCAUGCCCCACAGGCUCCUGAGAGACGUGAGAAGCAGCUUUGUAUGGGAGCCACCUCUGCUCGCGUUUCCACCCAGAACCAAAGGACUGACCAUUCUUUCAAUCCCUAAGCAGUGUCUUUUCUAUCUAAUCCUAAUAACCAAGCCUGGAGGAAUUGCAGACUUUCUGGUUGAAGGUUCAACAGGUCUCCUCGUUUAAGGAUAGAGUAAGUCUCACUGAAGCUACAGAGGAGAAUCUGGAAAAUGCAAAUGUUACUACCUUAACCGAAAGAGGGAGGAGGGGGCGCUUUCCUAAAUGGCCUUUACCUUGGACCUUUUCUUUCUCCUGGCAUUUGGGCUGCCAGGGAUCUUGCUUCUGCCCCACCAACACACUGAAAGCAAGAGCUCUUGACGUGAUGACUAAGGAAAAGAAUUUGGUUUUCAUUCGGAGACAGCUGAUUCUGAAGCCAUCUUAAAGCCUAAGCAUAGCACAACUGCAUUCAUGAUUCUAUGAAUUCUUUCCUACCAUUGGAACUUAGGGAAGGGGAGAGGAAGUGUGCAUCUAGGAAAUGUGGAAGGACACGCUCUUCGUUCUUUCAUCCUUCCGCUGCCUUCUAACUCUGUGGUCGAGUGUGGUCUUCCCAGGAGAGCAUCUUCCAGGAAACUCAUUAGAAAGGAAGAACCCCAGGCCUCAUUUCACAUCUGAAGCAGAGUCUGCCUUGUAGCCAACUCCCCAGCCAUUGCUAGGCAUGCUAAAGUUGACGAGGCCCUGGUUUAACUCCUGGGGUGGUCUGGUUUAAAGUGAUGAGAUGGCAUCAAAGAUGACGGAAGGACAGAGUCCACAGAGCCAGAAUUUGGGGCAGUGGAGGCAGAGCACCUAUUUCCUGCAUUUGGGCACUGCCAGCAGGUUGAUUCAGAAGAUGGGUGAAAAAUUUGUUCCUGGGGUAGCAGGAGGAGCACCACAACUUUGGAAUCUUUUGCUUAAAAGAAGGAUGAGCUCGGCUGUUCAUACCAUACAUCCCGGAGGUCUUCAGCAAGGUGAGGUUCCUCUGACCAAGAAGCCGGCUGCCUAGAUGCGCUAAGCACAGCUCCCUCGCAUAUUCUGGUGUCAUGCUCCAUCAUAAGUGACUAGACAUAGUUCCAGUGCUACCCAGCAGGAUCUCAUUGCUCAUGCAUUCCAAAGGCAAGAGUCUGCAUCUCAAAAAAUCAAAUACCUGGGAAUACACCUGACCAAGGAGAUUCAGCUCAGAAAAAGCUGGUGUUCAUUUAGUGGGUUCUCUUAAUCGUCAACAUUGGAUGACCAAUAAAUCUGCUCAAUAAGUCGUCUGGCAGCAGGAGGGUCCGCCUCUUCCACUCUUGGUGACGUUUCACAUUCUGGGAACCUCCUCCCGUCACCCCACAAUGGCGUUUUGUGUCUUGAUCCCCGUGGAAGAGCCCGGCGCACACACAGCUUAGCCUCUUCAUUCCUGGAGCCGUUCUACGUAUGCGAGACUGAAGCCAGGACAGAGGUCUUCAUCCUGGGUGUGCUUAUUCUUCACACCCUUCCCGAUGGUGGAGGUGAAGGUGCUGGUGGAUGAUAUAUCAGAAGCGACACCCCGGAACAGAGACCGCCUGUGACUGGAGCCCCAUUCCUGGCUGAACUGUACUGGGAAGAGCAGACCUGAGCAAGAUCUCUGAGACUUGGCCUCUGGCUUGAAGGUUGGACCACGGUGAGACUGAGAAGGCGCUUCCUGGAGGCCCCCAUUGACUCUGAAAGUUUCCAGUCUGGAAGAAAGAGAGCAGGUCGCUGCAAGCACUGAGGAUGAAAAGCCUCUGGAAACAAGGAACCGCCAGGCUUGGUCAGUGCCCCACCUGGAGAACAAGACCAGGUAGGUGACAGAAAUGAAGGGCAUGUCUGCUGAAUGAAUGUAUAGACAAAAUCAGUCGGUGACCUUAUGGGAAAAGGAAUCUCCCAGGUUUUCCUCUGCAGCAGUUUACGGACUCGUGCUUUGGAACAGCGCUCUUCUCGCUCACCUAUCCCACGUUGCUGUGGCUCUGGUGAAGGCCAUUGGCUACAGCUCCGAUUGGACCCCUAGCCUGGGAACCUCCAUAUGCCGCAGGAGUGGCCCUAGAAAAGGCAAAAAGACCAAAAAAAAAAAAAAANNNNAAAAAAAAAAAAAAAAAAAUGCAUGGAGCCGCCACGGGCGCUGUUAGCCACUUGCAUGUGAUGGCUUCAUGUUUGAUGAGCUCAAGGCUUUUCAAGAGUAAAUACCAUCCCUUAAUAUAAUGUCUCUCAUAUGAGACGGAGGCAUCUAAGUGCAGUAACGCCUAUCAGGGAAUCAGCCGCUAAACCUGUGUUGGAAAAUCAAAAACAUUGAUGCUUCAGCCCUUGAUUAGGGCACUCAAAUUUUUAAAAUUCAAAAAGUUGCAGUUCCAUGUUUGCUUACUUGAAUAUUAUGGACGAUUAUUGAAAUUCAUAAAAGAAACUUUUAUUGCCUCAUAGUACUUUCUUUUUAAUAGUAUUUUCUUCUUUUUAUUAUUUUCUGUAAUAAAAUUUAAAUUCUUGAAUAUUAUAGCCAAAUGACAUGCUCCUAAGAGCUACUUAAAUUUUUUAGGGAAUGCGCAGUCUUAAGAACCUUUAUCAGAACAGAAAAUAUAUUUGCUCAAUGUCUAUGACCCAGACAAAAGAAACAUAAUGAAAUUUCAUAAAAUUAAACUUAUUUAAUAAUUUAGUAAUACUUUUAUCUAUGUAUAUACUCGUGCCUUGCAACGAUUUAACAGUACAGAAAUUUGCUGGCACGAAUGCUUGGAUUUGCUCAUGACAAAUUCAGGUGAAAAUCAACCUUAUUUUUGAAAGUUUAAGAUUUGGCAGGUCCGCUGCUGGGCAUGGCACACGGAUAAAUCGUCGUUUCAGAGAAGGCCUCUGUGUUUGCUCAAGCGCAGCGGUGUUUUUUAAGUGAAGGCUGCUCCUGUUCUCUCCUGUCAAAAUCCAAGAUUCUAGGAGCCAGGUGAUUUCAGGACACACGGUGGUAAGUCCAUCGCAGGCCACUUUAGGAACUGCAAAAAAACGGUCAGAGGCCCUGUGAACUUCCAUGCUGAGACCUCCUGUCCAGAGCGGCAAACCCUGCCAGCCUUAACAACGUGUAAUAUAUCUUCAUGCCCAGGAAAGCCUUUGGCCUCGCCGCUGAGGGUCUGUGCUUACAGACGGGGUUCCCUAAGCAGAGGCAUCGAUGCGGCCACCGCAUUACUUUCUGUGCUAUGUGCCCUCUGCUUUUCGAGCGAGUGUGAGGCCUGGCAGAGAGCAAGUCCUGGCUGCUGUUCAGCAGGCGCAUCAGGGCCACUGCAGGCAUUUAGAAGACGGAACACAACACCGAGUUCCAAGACCCACCGUGAAAACCCCGGCAAGGCGUUACUGAAAAUGUCUUCGUUUGGCUUGUGUGGAUGCACAAGGAAGCCCUUCCUUUACCAUGUUUGAUGCUGAUCAGUGGCUCUUUUCUCGUAGAAUCAAUACUGAGGAGGAAAACCGAUUAUCGUGAGGCCCGUGAGAAGAACCGUACCUUUAUCCGCCAUUGGUGAGCUAGGAAAACAUCUUCCAUGGUCCGUACUCAACGUAUAGGCAUGUUUGUAUGUGAGUCUGUGUGUGCGUCUGUAUUUCUAUGUACGUACCCACAGACACACAUCAGUAUGCAGACCCACAUACAUACAGACCUGUUUCAAAACAUACACAUGGGUAUGCCCUCAAGAAGAAAACUCUAUUAAACCAAAUAUUUCUGGGUUGCAAGCUGCCCCAACGCAGCCUGCAGUACCAUAUACUGACAGCGUGAUCUGACUUGACUUUGUGAUACACGUGGGUAGGGUGGAGUCUGGGAGAGUCUUCAAACCAGAUGCCAGAGAUCUGAACGAGUGAAGAAGCGUUCAUCAAAUAGCUGUCCACCUCUCCCAACCAGAGGCCCUCCUCCCUCUGCACAUUGCGGAGAUUCGGCCGUACAAAGAGCAUGCCUGGAUUAAGAACAGGCCGAGCUCAAUAAAGAUUUGGAAAUACUCAAAUUGCUGGGAUGCUCACCUCUCAAGCCAGAGGUUUUGUUACGUUUUAGGGACCUGUGAGCAGCAAAACAGAGCACACCAGCAGCUGUUUUCCACGGGAAGGAAGAAAAAGGAAAAUAGAAAUAAGACAAUGUCACAGGACAAUCAGUCUCAUAGAAUGAAAUAUGGACGCGUAUGCCCCAGAGAAGAAUUUUCAUUUCGCCCAGGCAAUGUCCGGAGAGCAGCGUACAUCACGACUCCCUGCUGUUCUGGGUGUCUUGCCUAAGUCACUGUUCGCAGGCAGGCGGUCUUCCUUGCCUUUGUGGAGAACGAAGCUUAAGCACUUGCAGAGGAAGCAUUUCAUGUGUCAAUUCAUGGUAUAUUUCAGGUUACAAGUGCUCUGUUACAAUGAUCACACCUGAUAGCAAUUGUCUUAAAUAUGUGAAUAAACAGGGCCUGAAAAACUG
This 5007-nucleotide long non-coding RNA is filed under the name Sus scrofa (pig). RNAcentral describes it as "lncRNA (ENSSSCG00015000075.1)". The record is from RNAcentral. Lineage: Eukaryota; Metazoa; Chordata; Mammalia; Artiodactyla; Suidae.